UUACUGAAGAAAUAAUUGCGCUGUCUAUACUACACGUGUAAGGUUAAGUUACCUUAAUUUUAUAAUCAAUCUUUGUUUAAAAAAUAGAUUGAUAAAUAUGUUUGAUCCUAUAGCUUUUUAUAGUGAUAUACUUUCAUUAUAUAUAACACUUAUGUUGAAUUAAUAUCAAUAUUCAAAUGAUAUUCAAGAAAAUCAUUAGCGUAACCAUAUUCUCAAUAUAUAUAGAUAUAUCAUAAAAUAAUAUUUUACUAUAAUGUCUUUAUUACGAAUUAUUCGAUAUAACGAAUUAUUCUUUAUUUUUCCUUUAACUACAAGUCGUUUUUUUAGAGAACUCUUUCUAAAUAAUCCGUCCAAAAGAAAUAAUUAUGUCAUCGUUCAAUUCAAGAGAGAUUUCAAUGCCACAGUUAGUUCAUCUAUUAAAGAAGAGUACAAGAAACAAAAGAUUCUAUCAAACAUUUAUAAAGUUGGUUGAAGAACAUUAGCAACAGAUGUAACUAAACAUGAAAAAUAAAUAUAAAACAAGUUUUAUGCGAAGCAAAUAAACAAAAUAAUGAAGUAACAAGAGGUACUGACCAAUCACAUUUUUCAUGGAAAGACUUUUUGGAGUAUUUAUAUCCACAUAUUUGGUAUUUAUUGAUUUCUUUGUCAGUAAGUAUGAAAAUAUUGAUAAAAACUAAAUCAAGCGUACACAAUACAAUUAUCUUCCUUUAAAUGUUUAUAAAAAUGAUAUAACAACAAAUACUCUAAUCAAAUUAGAUUAUAGAUAGAUAUAAAAUUUAUUUAUCGACCAACAGAAAUUCAAUUUAUUAGGUAAUAUAAAUUUAAUUAAUUGUGCAAGUGUUGCGGUACCGGAUGAGAUAUUUUCUACCGUCUUUGUGUAAAUCCAUAUUGUUUCACUACAUACUGUAUAUUUUUUUAUUUGUAGAGCGCCUUAAUGGUUACAAUAUUAAAUUCUUGGAUACCGCAAUCUAUUGGUAAUAUUAUAAAUAUUGUGACAAAAAUAGUCCAAGACAAAAAGAUGAUUCUACAUUGAAUACUUUGGAAAUACUUCUUAGACCAACAUUUGUGCUGGCACAUAUAUAUGUUGCACAAGUAUGCACAUUUUAUAUAUCUUCAAAAAUUUCAAAUAUAUAUUCAAAAUAUGUACAUCGCAAGGCUAAAGAAGUUCUACACAAAUUGUUGGUUGUGUUAUUUCUGUAAUAAUGUUAUAGCCUCAGUUGAGAGUAUCAAUGUUAUUAUGUAUGCCAACAGUUACAUUUAUUGGUAAUCUAUUAGGAAAAAACUUGCGUAAGAUUUCUACAAAAACUCGAAAUCAAAUUGUGGAAUCUGCUGUCUUUGAAGAAGUUAUCCAUAAUAUACCAAUGGUAAAUUAAGAAUUAUUCUAUACUUUAAAAUCUGCUCAAAUGCUAUACCAAUGGAAGAUUGAUACGUUGACCAUAACACCGAAAUUACUUGUUUUGAUGUUACGAAAGUAUUUUUAUUAUUCUAAACAUAUAAUGACAAAAUAAUUAUAAAAAUGGUUGUAUAAACAUGAGCAAGAAUGUUAUUUUAAAGUAUUUUCUAAUUAGUCAUGUUGUCGAAAAUUCAGUGACUGUCAAUGUUCUUUCAACUUUUACAAUUAUAAACAUUUGAAGUACUUUGGUGACCGAUGACUAUAGUGAAACAAGUGCGGUUACAUAUGACCACCGUGGCGAUCAACGUAUUAAUUUGUAUAAUGAUCUUUUUCUUUUUUACAGGUAAAAAAGUUUGCAGCAGGAAAUCUGGAAACAGAAGUAUUUUCUAAAGAAGUUGAACAUGCAAUUGAGUUAUAUGAAAAUUUAGAAUUUGGUAACGGUUUGUUUUUUAGCAGGAACAGAUUUAUUUUGAAAUAGUAUUUUGCUUCGUUCAUUGUACUUUAGUGAUCAUUUAAUAUCUAUUGGACAAUUAACAUUUGGCGAACUUAUGGUAUUUUUGAUGGCAAUUGAAAUAGAUCAAUGAUUUUUCUCUCAACUAUCUUUAUUGCUUGGCACAUACGUAAGUGGAAUCAAUUCAAGUGCCUGAAUUUUUAAAGUAUUCUAUUAUUUUUACUUGCAAGAUUUUACAUAUAUCGUUUAUAAUCGAUUUGAAAUUUAUUUUAUUGUACUUAAAUAUGCCACCAUCACCAAUGAUGGUCGGAGGAAAGACAAGAAAGGACUCUCAGGGAAUGUAGAAUUUAAAAAUUUGAAAUUUAACUAUCCUAGUCGAUCGAAUCAUGUUAUUUUGAAGAAUUUUAAUUUGGAUAUUCUUUCUUUAUGAUGUCGACGAAGGUAGCAUAUCUGUUGAUAAAUGGGACAUUAGGUCUUUUCAUUCUAGCUAUCUUAGAGGUAUUGUAUUAGCACAUAUAAAUUAAGAACCUGUACUUUUUACGACUAGUAUAAUGGGGAAUAUUUGUCAUGGAAAACAAGAUGUGACGGACGAGAAGAUCAUAAAAGCGGCAAAAGAAGCUAAUGCUCAUGAAUUCAUUACAAAAUUUCCAAGAAGUUAUGAAACUUAAAAUGACGAGAGAGGCGUAAUAUUAUUUGGUGGAUUAAAGCAAUCAUCGAUUUUAACAUUAGUCUAAACAACGAUAUGUAAAGAAACUAAAUAUAAUUAGUCACGUAUCUUAUUCUGUAUUCUAUAUGAAUUUUAUCUUUUUUAAAUUUAAUGUAUUGAAUUAUGAAAACGAAAAAAUGGUUCACAAUGCGUUAGAAAAUUAACUAGAAAUAGGUUAGUUAUUGCUCAUAGACUAAGUACUAUUAAACCUGCUUACGUUAUUAUUGUAUUACAAUAUGUUAUUGUAGAGAUAGGUUGAAAAAUGAAUCGCUGUUCUUUUACUAUCUGCGCACAGCUACUUUAUCUUGCAA
Molecule: long non-coding RNA, 2861 nt
Organism: Vespa velutina
Lineage: Eukaryota; Metazoa; Arthropoda; Insecta; Hymenoptera; Vespidae
Exons: 3
Source: RefSeq, a predicted model, not a curated record